RNAcentral lists this ribosomal RNA (253 nucleotides) under uncultured bacterium. RNAcentral's name for it is "partial 16S ribosomal RNA". It matches the Rfam family "Bacterial small subunit ribosomal RNA", at positions 524 to 776 of the family's 1533-position model. The record is from RNAcentral.
UACGUAGGGUCCAAGCGUUGUCCGGAAUUAUUGGGCGUAAAGAGCUCGUAGGCGGUCCGUUAAGUCGGAAGUGAAAUCUCAAGGCUCAACCUUGAAAUCGCUCUCGAUACUGGCGGACUUGAGGCAGGUAGGGGAAGGUGGAAUUCCUGGUGUAGCGGUGAAAUGCGCAGAUAUCAGGAGGAACACCGGUGGCGAAGGCAGCCCCCUGGGCCUGUACUGACGCUCAUGCACGAAAGCGUGGGGAGCAAACAGG